GGUCACCCAUCAUGGGGGGCUACAACUCAGGCGGGGCCAUUUCGGUGGUUCACGUCAAUAGCAAACGGAAGACAGAAA
This 78-nucleotide non-coding RNA is filed under the name Roseovarius sp. MCTG156(2b). RNAcentral describes it as "L2-Alphaproteobacteria ribosomal protein leader". It matches the Rfam family "L2-Alphaproteobacteria ribosomal protein leader". The record is from RNAcentral. Lineage: Bacteria; Pseudomonadati; Pseudomonadota; Alphaproteobacteria; Rhodobacterales; Roseobacteraceae.